CCUGAUGGCUCAGAUGGUAAAGAAUCUGCCUACAAUGCAGGAGACCCAGGUUCCAUCCCUGGGUCAGGA
This 69-nucleotide transfer RNA is filed under the name Bos taurus (domestic cattle). It matches the Rfam family "tRNA". From Rfam's summary of the family: Transfer RNA (tRNA) molecules are approximately 80 nucleotides in length. Their secondary structure includes four short double-helical elements and three loops (D, anti-codon, and T loops). RNAcentral also lists the same sequence under 3 other names. The record is from Rfam by way of RNAcentral. Lineage: Eukaryota; Metazoa; Chordata; Mammalia; Artiodactyla; Bovidae.